This 229-nucleotide ribosomal RNA is filed under the name uncultured bacterium. Its description in RNAcentral is "partial 16S ribosomal RNA". It matches the Rfam family "Bacterial small subunit ribosomal RNA", at positions 103 to 334 of the family's 1533-position model. The record is from RNAcentral.
CGGCUGAGUAACGCGUGGGUGACGUACCUAUCGGUGGGGAAUAACUGCCCGAAAGGGUGGCUAAUACCGCAUACGUCCACUGCUUCGUGGCAGUGGGGAAAACCGCAAGGUGCCGAUGGAGCGGCCCGCGUUCGAUUAGCUGGUUGGUGGGGUAACGGCCUACCAAGGCGACGAUCGAUAGCUGGUCUCAGAGGAUGAUCAGCCAGACUGGGACUGAGACACGGCCCAG